This 793-nucleotide ribosomal RNA is filed under the name Anthopleura atodai. RNAcentral's name for it is "partial 12S ribosomal RNA". It matches the Rfam family "Bacterial small subunit ribosomal RNA", at positions 352 to 1453 of the family's 1533-position model. The record is from RNAcentral. Lineage: Eukaryota; Metazoa; Cnidaria; Anthozoa; Actiniaria; Actiniidae.
CAGUAGAGAAUCUUGUGCAAUAAACGAAAGUAUGACACAGAGAGGACACAUUUAAUUGAGCCCGUCAAAUUAAGUGCCAGCCGACGCGGUUAAACUUAAGGGCUGGUCUUUAUAAGUAAAAAGGCGUAAAGGAUGUGUAGGCCAAGAAACGAUCCAAGUAGGUAAAUGGAAUUUUUCUGGAGCGGUAGAAUGUGAGGAUAGAAAAUAGAACCCCUAAGGUAAAAACUAUUUACUACAAGGUAGGCUGAAACAUGAGAGUGUGGGGAGCAAACAGGAUUAGAGACCCUGGUAGUCCACACUGUAAACUUUGAAGAUGAUGCUUAGCAGACCCGAAAGGUAAAAUCUUCCGCCUGAGUAGUACGAUCGCAAGAUUAAAAUUCAAAAACUUUGGCUGUUCACUAUUUCGAUUAGAGGAGCGUGUAGUUUAAUUCGAUGGUCCGCGUGUUACCUUACCCCAACUUGAAUCUGUGACCGGUAUUGCAUGGCCGUCGUAAGUUCGUGUAUUAAGCUAGAAGGGACCCAACCCGGGCAUUUGCCCGGAGGAAGUCAGGUCUUAUGAUCCGAAUGUUGGGGGAUUUUAUGCGCUACAUUUUCUUAUAUAAUGAGAAACCUGGAAGGUGAGUCUCUAAAGUAAGAGUUCGGAAGGUCGCUGUAAGACGACUGGAAGUUGGAUUUAAUAGUAAUCGGAAAGUAGGGCGUUCCGGUGAAUUGGUACAAGUGUUAGCACAAAUUGCCCGUCACCUUUACUUAGAAUGGUUAUUCGGAUGUCUUCGGUGAUUAUGAAUGCCUCAGG